RNAcentral lists this ribosomal RNA (464 nucleotides) under uncultured bacterium. Its description in RNAcentral is "bacterial SSU rRNA". It matches the Rfam family "Bacterial small subunit ribosomal RNA", at positions 338 to 795 of the family's 1533-position model. The record is from RNAcentral.
CCUACGGGCUGCACCAGUAGGGAAUCUUCGGCAAUGGACGAAAGUCUGACCGAGAACGCCGCGUGAGUGAAGAAGGUUUUCGGAUCGUAAAACUCUGUUGUUAGAGAAGAACAAGUAGGAGAGUAACUGCUCUUACCUUGACGGUAUCUAACCAGAAAGCCACGGCUAACUACGUGCCAGCAGCCGCGGUAAUACGUAGGUGGCAAGCGUUGUCCGGAUUUAUUGGGCGUAAAGCGAGCGUAGGCGGUCUUUUAAGUCUGAUGUGAAAGCCCUCGGCUCAACCGUGGAGGGUUAUUGGAAACUGGGGGACUUGAGUGCAGAAGAGGAGAGCGGAAUUCCACGUGUAGCGGUGAAAUGCGUAGAGAUGUGGAGGAACACCAGUGGCGAAGGCGGCUCUCUGGUCUGUAACUGACGCUGAGGCGCGAAAGCGUGGGGAGCAAACAGGAUUAGAUACCCGCGUAGUC